RNAcentral lists this small nucleolar RNA (135 nucleotides) under Tetraodon nigroviridis (spotted green pufferfish). RNAcentral describes it as "Small nucleolar RNA SNORA30/SNORA37 family (ENSTNIG00000020653.1)". Lineage: Eukaryota; Metazoa; Chordata; Actinopteri; Tetraodontiformes; Tetraodontidae. The record is from RNAcentral.
GCAGCAUCUUAAACGGAUUGUGGCCUUUGAGCAGUAGGCCAGAAUUUGGUAGCUGGUGCUGAUAUCAACUCUCUCUUGCAACACUCCCGCUGGCAUCUUCUGGGCUUUCUGGGAAUUUCUGGGAGAGAAACAAGC